Cinara cedri is the source of this 266-nucleotide non-coding RNA. Lineage: Eukaryota; Metazoa; Arthropoda; Insecta; Hemiptera; Aphididae. The record is from the annotation of a GenBank genome assembly.
UGUAAAAUAAUGCAGACAUAAUAUUGUAACGUAAUUCUAUUUGAAGUAGUGUCACUACGUACCUUCAAUGUCAUCACGGCUUGUAAAUAUUUUUAUCCAAAUUACUUAUUGUAAAUAAUUGUUUUUUAGAAUUUUUUUUUUUUUAAUGCCGAAGUGGUCUUACGACGAAAUUUUGACGUAAAUGGUUUUAUAGUGAAGUGGCGACAGCGAAUUGGCAAUGACCAUUUAUUCGUGUUUGAAAAUAUAUUUAAGGCGACCAGAACGAC